This 448-nucleotide ribosomal RNA is filed under the name uncultured bacterium. RNAcentral describes it as "bacterial SSU rRNA". It matches the Rfam family "Bacterial small subunit ribosomal RNA", at positions 25 to 518 of the family's 1533-position model. The record is from RNAcentral.
CAGAACGAACGCUGGCGGCAUGCCUAACACAUGCAAGUCGAACGAGACCCUCGGGUCUAGUGGCGCACGGGUGCGUAACGCGUGGGAAUCUGCCCCUCGGUUGGGAAUAACACAGAGAAAUUUGUGCUAAUACCUUAUAAUGUCUUCGGACCAAAGAUUUAUCGCCGAGGGAUGAGCCCGCGUAGGAUUAGGUAGUUGGUGGGGUAAUGGCCUACCAAGCCGACGAUCCUUAGCUGGUCUGAGAGGAUGAUCAGCCACACUGGGACUGAGACACGGCCCAGACUCCUACGGGAGGCAGCAGUGGGGAAUAUUGGACAAUGGGCGAAAGCCUGAUCCAAGCAAUGCCGCGUGAGUGAUGAAGGCCUUAGGGUUGUAAAGCUCUUUUACCCGGGAUGAUAAUGACAGUACCGGGAGAAUAAGCUCCGGCUAACUCCGUGCCAGCAGCCGC